RNAcentral lists this ribosomal RNA (497 nucleotides) under uncultured bacterium. Its description in RNAcentral is "partial 16S ribosomal RNA". It matches the Rfam family "Bacterial small subunit ribosomal RNA", at positions 28 to 507 of the family's 1533-position model. The record is from RNAcentral.
GACGAACGCUGGCGGCGUGCCUAAUACAUGCAAGUUGAGCGCUGAAGGUUGGUACUUGUACCGACUGGAUGAGCAGCGAACGGGUGAGUAACGCGUGGGUAAUCUGCCUUUGAGCGGGGGACAACAUUUGGAAACGAAUGCUAAUACCGCAUAAAAACUUUAAACACAAGUUUUAAGUUUGAAAGAUGCAAUUGCAUCACUCAAAGAUGAUCCCGCGUUGUAUUAGCUAGUUGGUGAGGUAAAGGCUCAACAAGGCGAAGAUACAUAGCCGACCUGAGAGGGUGAUCCGCCACAUUGGGAAUGAGACACGGGCCCAAAUUCUACGGGAGGCAGCAGUAGGGAAUCUUUGGCAAAGGAGGAAAGGCUGAACGAGCAACGCCGCGUUAGUGAAGAAGGUUUUCGGAUCGGAAAACCCUGUUGGUAGAGAAGAACGUUGGUGGGAGUGGAAAGCUCAUCAAGUGACGGUAACUACCCAGAAAGGGACGGCUAACUACGUG